UACAGGGGGGGCAAGCGUUGUUCGGAAUUACUGGGCGUAAAGGGCGCGUAGGCGGCCUUCUAAGUCGAACGUGAAAUCCCCGGGCUCAACCCGGGAACUGCGUCCGAUACUGGAAGGCUUGAAUCCGGGAGAGGGAUGUGGAAUUCCAGGUGUAGCGGUGAAAUGCGUAGAUAUCGGGAGGAACACCAGUGGCGAAGGCGACUACCUGGUCUGUUUCUUGACGCUGAGGCGCGAAAGCUAGGGGAGCAAACGGG
RNAcentral lists this ribosomal RNA (254 nucleotides) under uncultured bacterium. Its description in RNAcentral is "partial 16S ribosomal RNA". It matches the Rfam family "Bacterial small subunit ribosomal RNA", at positions 524 to 776 of the family's 1533-position model. The record is from RNAcentral.